CAGUAGCCGCGGGAAAACAGAGGGUGCGAGCGUUAAUCGGAUUUACUGGGCGUAAAGCGUGCGUAGGCGGCUUCUUAAGUCGGAUGUGAAAUCCCUGAGCUUAACUUAGGAAUUGCAUUCGAUACUGUGAAGCUAGAGUAUGGGAGAGGAUGGUAGAAUUCCAGGUGUAGCGGUGAAAUGCGUAGAGAUCUGGAGGAAUACCGAUGGCGAAGGCAGCCAUCUGGCCUAAUACUGACGCUGAGGUACGAAAGCAUGGGGAGCAAACAGGAUUAGAUACCCGAGUAGUCCCUGUCUCUUAUAC
RNAcentral lists this ribosomal RNA (301 nucleotides) under uncultured bacterium. RNAcentral's name for it is "partial 16S ribosomal RNA". It matches the Rfam family "Bacterial small subunit ribosomal RNA", at positions 509 to 807 of the family's 1533-position model. The record is from RNAcentral.